GAUGAACGCUGGCGGCGUGCUUAACACAUGCAAGUCGAACGAAGCACUUUAUUUGAUUUCCUUCGGGACUGAUUAUUUUGUGACUGAGUGGCGGACGGGUGAGUAACGCGUGGGUAACCUGCCUUGUACAGGGGGAUAACAGUUGGAAACGGCUGCUAAUACCGCAUAAGCGCACAGCAUCGCAUGAUGCAGUGUGAAAAACUCCGGUGGUAUAAGAUGGACCCGCGUUGGAUUAGCUAGUUGGUGAGGUAACGGCCCACCAAGGCGACGAUCCAUAGCCGACCUGAGAGGGUGACCGGCCACAUUGGGACUGAGACACGGCCCAAACUCCUACGGGAGGCAGCAGUGGGGAAUAUUGCACAAUGGGCGAAAGCCUGAUGCAGCGACGCCGCGUGAGCGAAGAAGUAUUUCGGUAUGUAAAGCUCUAUCAGCAGGGAAGAUAAUGACGGUACCUGACUAAGAAGCACGGGCUAAAUACGUG
This 481-nucleotide ribosomal RNA is filed under the name uncultured bacterium. RNAcentral describes it as "partial 16S ribosomal RNA". It matches the Rfam family "Bacterial small subunit ribosomal RNA", at positions 28 to 507 of the family's 1533-position model. The record is from RNAcentral.